Molecule: transfer RNA, 68 nt
Filed under: Amegilla calceifera
Lineage: Eukaryota; Metazoa; Arthropoda; Insecta; Hymenoptera; Apidae
Description: tRNA-Met
Source: RNAcentral
AUAUAAAUAAGCUAAGUUUAAGCUAAUAGGCUCAUACCCUGUCAAUAGAUUAUAAUAUCUUUUAUAUA